GAUGAACGCUGGCGGCGUGCCUAAUACAUGCAGGUCGAGCGAACAGACGAGGAGCUUGCUCCUCUGACGUUAGCGGCGGACGGGUGAGUAACACGUGGAUAACCUACCUAUAAGACUGGGAUAACUUCGGGAAACCGGAGCUAAUACCGGAUAAUAUAUUGAACCGCAUGGUUCAAUAGUGAAAGACGGUUUUGCUGUCACUUAUAGAUGGAUCCGCGCCGCAUUAGCUAGUUGGUAAGGUAACGGCUUACCAAGGCAACGAUGCGUAGCCGACCUGAGAGGGUGAUCGGCCACACUGGAACUGAGACACGGUCCAGACUCCUACGGGAGGCAGCAGUAGGGAAUCUUCCGCAAUGGGCGAAAGCCUGACGGAGCAACGCCGCGUGAGUGAUGAAGGUCUUCGGAUCGUAAAACUCUGUUAUUAGGGAAGAACAAAUGUGUAAGUAACUAAGCACGUCUUGACGGUACCUAAUCAGAAAGCCACGGCUAACUACGUG
Molecule: ribosomal RNA, 497 nt
Filed under: uncultured bacterium
Lineage: Bacteria
Description: partial 16S ribosomal RNA
Rfam family: Bacterial small subunit ribosomal RNA
Source: RNAcentral